Molecule: ribosomal RNA, 213 nt
Filed under: uncultured bacterium
Lineage: Bacteria
Description: partial 16S ribosomal RNA
Rfam family: Bacterial small subunit ribosomal RNA
Source: RNAcentral
UACGUAGGGCGCAAGCGUUGUCCGGAAUUAUUGGGCGUAAAGAGCUCGUAGGCGGUUUGUCGCGUCUGCUGUGAAAACCUAAGGCUCAACCUUGGGCUUGCAGUGGGUACGGGCAGACUAGAGUGCGGUAGGGGGUGACUGGAAUUCCUGGUGUAGCGGUGGAAUGCGCAGAUAUCAGGAGGAACACCGAGUGGCGAAGGCAGGUCACUGGGC